Molecule: ribosomal RNA, 590 nt
Filed under: Desulfurococcaceae archaeon
Lineage: Archaea; Thermoproteati; Thermoproteota; Thermoprotei; Desulfurococcales; Desulfurococcaceae
Description: bacterial SSU rRNA
Rfam family: Archaeal small subunit ribosomal RNA
Source: RNAcentral
UGCGGCCGCGAUUCCGGUUGAUCCUGCCGGACCCGACCGCUAUCGGGGUGGGGCUAAGCCAUGGGAGUCGUACGCCCCGGAUACCGGGGAGUGGCGGACGGCUGAGUAACACGUGGCUAACCUACCCUCAGGACGGGGAUAACUCCGGGAAACUGGAGCUAAUCCCCGAUAGGUGGUGAGGCCUGGAAGGGUCCACCACCUAAAGGGUCCUACGGGGAUGUCCGUAGGACCGCCUGAGGAUGGGGCCACGGCCCAUCAUGGUUGUUGGCGGGGUAACGGCCCGCCAAGCCGAUAACGGGUAGGGGCCGUGAGAGCGGGAGCCCCCAGAUGGGCACUGAGACAAGGGCCCAGGCCCUACGGGGCGCACCAGGCGCGAAAACUCCGCAAUGCGGGAAACCGUGACGGGGCCACCCCGAGUGCCCCGAAGAGGGGCUUUUCCCCGCUGUAAGCAGGCGGGGGAAUAAGCAGGGGGCAAGUCUGGUGUCAGCCGCCGCGGUAAUACCAGCCCUGCGAGUGGUCGGGACGUUUAUUGGGCCUAAAGCGUCCGUAGCCGGCCCGGUAAGUCCUCCCUCAAAGCCCCGGGCUCAACC